UUCUCUCUGACUUCUCCUUCUCUCACAGCGCGCCUCACUAUUUAUGCUUUUAAACCUUCCUCUGAGUUCUCUCUUCUCCCCAACAUCGCCUCUUUGAUAGAGCAUCUCAGUUUUACUUCCAUCACUCUCUUUCUCUCUAUUUUUAAAAGUAAAAAGAAGAUAUGAAAGUUGAAGAAGAAAGAGUUGGUGAAGAAACGAAACCAAAUCUCAAAAUAUCUUCAAAAUGUUUCAAUUAAAAGUCAAAAUCGAACUCCAAUUCAAUCAGAUUACUAACCAAUUUCUUCAACCAAAUUUCAGCAGAACUCUAAUUAUUUCUUCAACCCAAUCGAACAAUUUUUUAAACCAGAUUUCAGUAAAACCCUAAUUUGUUCUUCAGCUUUCUAAUAUGAUAUUUGGGUUUCAAGAUUCAACAUAAACAUGUUGAUUGCUAGAGUUUCCCUACACGGAGCUGAUGUUAAAAUUUCCGUUGUUAAACGAUUCAUUCAUUACUAUUGAUUACAUGCAACACAGAAGACUGUUGAUGGUCCGUCGAUCAAAGACUGGAGAGGUGGAAGGAUGCUUCAUUCAGCAUCAUUCCUAGCAGCACUUGUGCAGCAAGGUACAUUAUUUUUAACACAAGGCAGUUUCUUGACACGUAUAAAGUAUUGACUAAUAUUCCGAUUAUCGCAAAAUGGGUUUCUUUCGAUUUCAAAGCAUGUUACAGAACGACAACCCCAGAAUGCCCUUCCAAAGGUCUAGAAUCAUCAGAGCACCUUGAUGGGUUUGUUCAUUCUAUUUGUAUAACUCCGGAAUGUGUUAAAUGAAUUCUAUGGUGUCAUCAUGAGUUGUUGAACGACAGUUUUACAUCCUACAACUCUAUUGCAGAGCUGAAUUUGCUGAAACUGAUAAGGUUUAUGCACAUAUGACUCCCCGGUAAAGAGUUCACAAUGAUAUUUAUCCUGGUAUUACCUUCUACAAAUUUAUUUAUGUUUAUGUUAAAUACAGAGUUUAAUACAUCUUAUGUACCUCCCAAAGUGGCUGAAAGGAUCUUUCCUCCCCUUGUGUGUUCAGUUUUUUAUUUUUCUUUUCACAUCUUAAUUAAAGUAUCAACGUUACACACACUUGUUAUUUUUACAAAUUCUAGUGCUUAUUAAAGAUCAUAUUGGACUUUUCGAUGCAACCCCAGCUAAAGGUAUGUAAAAGCUAACUUUUUUUGUAUCACAUUUUUGCCCUAAAUCUCUCGCUUACACGAACAUCAUUUUCAUUCUCAAGCCCAACCACGAAUAAGUAUGAGGCUCACUAUACACGAAGAACUUACUUGACAGGAAGAAUUUUUGAUUGCCAUUCCUUCUUUAAGGUUUAAUUUUUUCUUGUUAACUUGGUGAUAAUAUCAUAUGUUCGUUAAGCAUGUCAAUGUCUUGUAGUUUCUGUCAGGCUUUUGAGAUAUUUUGUCCAUCAUCUGAACUUGAUAUAUUUUGUGUUUUCAUUGCAAUUGUGGUUUGCGUUCUUAUUCAUUUCAAUGUGUAAGUAUUAUUAAUAUGCAUUCCUGUCGAUGGAAAUUUUUUGUGUUUCCUUGUAUUUUGUAUGCUAAAAUUGUGUUACAAGUUUAGUACUAAAUACUUCUAGUUGAUCAUAACAAACAUUCCUUGUAUAGCCUUCACUUGUCUGCAUACUUCUAUAUCAUCUUUGAAUGGUCCAUUCUUAUCGUGUUGAAACUAAAUCAUUAACUAAUGCCCAAGCUUAUCUUUUCUGCAGGUAUGUGCGUCUCAGUUCAUCAUCAGAUAAUUCAUCAUUUUGUUAGGUUUCCCCUAUCUUUAAGAAAGCUUAGAACUAGUAUUAGUGUUAGUUCAUGUUUUGUUUAUAAUUUUUCUGGUUAUUCUGAACCCAAGUGUCAACUGAAAUCAAAUAUGAUCAGUGUGUUGUAUAUAUAAUGAAUUCAAAUGUGAAUUGAAUGGUGAAUAUUUCAACUUAAGAAUAUUUGAAUGUAAAUUGAUUGAAUUUCAUUCAG
Long non-coding RNA from Papaver somniferum (opium poppy), 1987 nucleotides. RefSeq lists it as uncharacterized. The transcript is spliced from 3 exons. The record is from RefSeq and is a predicted model, not a curated record. NCBI's taxonomy places the organism in Eukaryota, Viridiplantae, Streptophyta, Magnoliopsida, Ranunculales, Papaveraceae.